Molecule: small RNA, 1604 nt
Filed under: Rattus norvegicus (Norway rat)
Lineage: Eukaryota; Metazoa; Chordata; Mammalia; Rodentia; Muridae
Description: uncharacterized LOC102552278
Source: RNAcentral
CUCUCUUUCUUUCUUUUGAGGAGAAUUGGUUCUCUUGCUCUUGGGGUGGGCUCUGAGCCAUGUGGGACCAAUGCUUAUCAUGUGUUGAAAGAAGCUUUGGCUAAAAGCCAAGCAAGAUAAGUGGCCGAGGAUAGGAGAAGCCGAGGCUUCUAGACUCCCCAGGUCAUUCUUUGAACUUUGUGUGGUCAACAGAAAACUGUCCUAAACUCCCUCCGCACAGACCCCGCCUCUCGAGCGUCAUUCUCCCGUUGUAACCGACACCGUAAAUGCCUAAGAGCAUUCUGCAUCUCUGGCAGGGUAUGAGGUGGUGCUCCUUGCUCCGGAGAUGUUCUCCUAAGCCAUCCAGAUCUUCUCUGCAUAACAGUUUUUCCUAAGCAGCUCUACCUGGAGCAUCUCUGCCUCUGAAUGCCCACAGCCCCUGCUCACUUCCAGAAGCCCCUCUGCAUUCCCGUCCCCUUUCUGAGCACACUAUUUCCUUCCGAGUGUUUUACUUUUUUUUGAUCCUGGCUGCAGCCUAAUGUCUGCUGUUUCCUGCUCUUUCUUCUCCUUGAGUUAACAAGAGGCUGACAAUCAGGAUUUCCCUGUCUCCGAACCAUCAGCGCUCAUCACCAGUGGACUAUGGGGUUCUAGUCCUCUCAUAGAGCUUCUAAAACCCUUGGAAUUUCUAGAUUGAUGUAGAACUCUUGGCUCUGUCUCCACCAUGUCUGCUUCGAUGGUCUCAUGCUUCCUGCCAUGAUGAUAAUGGACUGAACCUCUGACCCUGUAAGCCAGCUCCAGUUAAAGUUUCCUUUAGAAGAGUUGCUAUGGUAACAGGGUCCCCUUCUGCCAGGGUUUGGAGAAGAAACCUGGAGGAUCAGGAUUCAGUUGCUGACACAGGUCAUUCUACCAGGUUACAGAGCAGGAGGAAAAAGGGGAAAGUGGGUAGGGGAAGGUGGAAAAAGGAAAUCUCCAGGCCUGUCCAGUACACUCAUGUUCUUCCUCUCCCUCACUCCCUUCCCCUCCCUCACCAUUUGGACUGACAACCUCCUCCAUACUGUACCUGAGUAAAGAGAACUGCCAACCCCACUUUUCUGGAUGUUUCUGAAGUUAUUUUGUCUUUGAGGUAAUCUGUGGAAGAGGAAAAGAUUUCUAGAACUUAACCUCGUUUUACCUCAGUUUCAUCUGUGUUCUAACUAGCCUCCAUACAGAAAAGCAGAUAUUUUGUGCUCUCCUUCCUAUGUGGCUAGGACUUCACCUCCGUCUUUUGUUCCGUUUCCCAGACCUUUCGCUUAUUUAGCCUUCAUGGAAAAGGGAAAGCAAUGUCGACCAACUUCCAUAAAGGUUAGUCUAACUGCAGUGUGUUGUUUUGUUACGGGCUAAGAGGCUAGGUCUCCUGGAGGCAGUACAUAAAGAAUUUUUACCUUACUUCUAGGGGGGAAAUCUUGAGGGCUAGUGUAUCUAAGAUCAAGAAAGGUGCAGACAGUUUGCAGGAAUAGACUUAAUGCUUUUUUUAGUAAGAUAUUGAGCCCAAAACAUGCUGUUUAAAUCCUUGUUUUGUCUUGAACUCCGACAUGGCAUGGACAGCCAUAUUUGGUAAUUUACUUAGGACAGUGUUAUAUUCUGAG